CGGGGUGCAGCAGGCGCGAAACCUUCGCAAUGCGCGAAAGCGUGACGAGGGGACCCCGAGUUCCCCAGUACAACUGGGGAUUUUGUAGAGCGUAAAAAGCUUUAAGAAUAAGUGCUGGGUAAGACCGGUGCCAGCCUCCGCGGUAACACCGGCAGCGCAAGUGGUGGUCACGUUUAUUGGGCUUAAAGCGUCCGUAGUCGGUUCAGCAAGUUCCCUGUGAAAUCCUGCCGCUUAACGGUAGGGCUUGCAGGGAAUACUGCCGAGCUAGGGACCGGAAGAGGUCAGGGGUAUUCCCGGGGUAGCGGUGAAAUGUUAUAAUCCCGGGAGGACGACCCGCGGCGAAGGCGCCUGACUAGUACGGGUCCGACGAUGAGGGACGAGAGCUGGGGGAGCAAAACGGAUUAGAUACCCGUGUAGUCCCAGCCGUAAACGAUGCGGACUGAGUAUUGCACAAAUCUCGUAUUUGUGCAGUGCUGAAGGGAAACCGUUAAGUCCGCCGUCUGGGGAGUACGGUCGCAAGGCUGAAACUUAAAGGAAUUGGCGGGGGAACACCACAAGGGGUGGAGUCUGCGGUUCAAUUGGAUACAACGCCGGGAAACUCACCAGGGGCGACGGCAGUAUGAAAGCCAAGCUGAAGGUUUUGCUUGACGAGCCGAGAGGUAGUGCAUGGCCGUCGUCAGCUCGUACCGUGAGGCGUGCGGUUAAGUCCGUUAACGAGCAAGACCCGUGCCCUUAUUUGCGACCCUUUCCGAUGGGGAGGGGGCACUAUAAGGGGACCGGUGGCGAUGAGUCACAGGAAGGCGCGGGCGACGGUAGGUCUGUAUGCUCCGAAUCUCCUGGGCCACACGUGGACUACAAUGGCAUGAACAAUGAGUUGCAACGCCGAAAGGCGAAGCUAAUCCCCAAAUCAUGUCUUAGUUCGGAUCGAGGGCUGUAACUCGCCCUCGUGAAGAUGAAAUCCCUAGUAAUCGCUGGUCACCAUCCAGCGGUGAAUAUGUCCCUGUUCCUUGCACACACCGCCCGU
Molecule: ribosomal RNA, 1024 nt
Filed under: uncultured euryarchaeote
Lineage: Archaea; Methanobacteriati; Methanobacteriota
Description: bacterial SSU rRNA
Rfam family: Archaeal small subunit ribosomal RNA
Source: RNAcentral